UGGUCUGACCCAGUAUGACAGUUCUUAUGCUAGCACAUUAGUGAAAUAUGCGUGUGCUAAGAAAAGCUGUAAAUAAAAGGAAUAGAAACCAAACAAUACAUUUAUCAGGACAUUUGACCACAGAGUAGAAUAAUCAGAAAUGUAGCUGAUUAAUCAUUCACAAUCUCAGCUAUACACACCCACUAUUGUUAAAACAAAGAGAACAGAAAUGGAAGGUUUAUAUAGUUGUUUCAGCCUACUGAAACUACAGUUCUUGAAGUGACUGCAUUGUAUAACGGGCUAUUAAUACAUACAGUAUUUAAAAAGUGCCUAAAAUAUGGGGGGAUGUUGUAUGAAUUACACAAACUUUAAACUGGACAUUUAAGCCACUAGCAAAAUGUUGGUGGAAAAAACUUCAAGCUGAAUAAGUAUAAUUGCAAAGAUGGCCAAAGGAUGAAAAAGGCCCAGAAAACGUGACUUGUGAAAGUAAAGUUGCUAACUGAAGCAAAUCACGAUAUUCAAGAAAUGUCCCAAGAUUGUUGUACCAAUAGUUAUAAUCUAAUUUGUUUAACAUAAGAUGGUGUGACAAGUUGAGCUGUGCGAAGAGACUGGAAAAUUCCAGUUCCAUUUGCAAGAUCUGAAAGAUGAUGUGUUGUUCCCUGACUGAAUGGUUGGAGAAGGUACUAUUUUGAAUCUUCUGAAGAAGUAUAGUUCUCUGUCUGAUUACUCCAUGCUAACAUCUCCAAGAUCCAAGAAUAGGAAACAAGUUGCACCACCUAGCAGAAAUAGAACAAAAUGUUCUGUCUGCUUCAGCAUAUCACUUUCAGCAACACUACAGCCAAUAACCAGUUGAUAUAAGCAAAGUACCAUUCUGAGGGACCCAGUCAAAACUCCAAAUGAAGUCAUCCUCUCAACGCAAGGAUUAAGUAUGAUGAGAGAGCAGAAAAGAAAGCUACAAACUUUGAUGCUUCACGUUUGUUACCACAGCCUCGCAUUACUUUGCCUGACUUUAGAAGCUGGCCAUCGCUCAGAGAAAUUUCUUCAUACAGAAAAGCUCACAUCUGCGUCGUGUCUCAUUGCAACAAUCUCAGUUGGUAAAACAAAGAAAUAAACUGUAAAAAAUAAUCUCAACUAUUCACCAACAACACCAAUGCACCAGCAGCAUACAAGCAAUGGCUGUUUCAAAAAAGGCAUCAUCAAUGUGUUUAUCAAAGCCACCUAUUUUGGGAAUGAUGCUGAUUAUUCUACAUGUUUUUAAGGUGGCCUGCUCAUGAAAAGUUAGGAAAAUUGCAAAAAUCAUACUGCAUCUAUCAAGAGAUACCUUCUAAAAAACCAAGUAGUCCUGUGGCACUUUAGGGUAUGUCUACACUACAGAGAAGAUCGAAGCUGCUGCUAUCGAUCUCCCAGGGUUGGAUUUAGUAGGUCUAGUUAAGACAGCUAAUUCGAACUGAGAAGGGCACUCCGGUCAAUGCUGGUAGUCCUGCUUCCACCAGGAGUAAGCAAAGUCGAAGAAAGAGUAUUCUCCCUUCGACUUCCUGCAGUUGAGCUAAGCUACUUCGACUUCAGCUACACAGUUAAUGUUGCUGAAGUUGCAUAUCUGAAUUCGACCUUGUCCCGAAGUGAAGACAUACCCUUAGAAACUAACGAACAAGUUGGACCACCCAGCAAAAAUAGAAUAAAAUAUCCUGUCUGCUUCAGCAUAUCACUUUCCACAAACAGAACAUGUUUGGAAGGGAGAAAACGAAGGUACUGGGUCCUUCUGGUGACAUCAGUUAUUUAGAUAGGCACCUUUAACUGUCCUUUUCUGUUUUCCAGCAAUCUGUGUUAGCUACUAGUGUACCAGGAAAGGACUAUAAUCCUAUCCAUCCUUUGCUCCACCUAUAUUUGCACUGUCAGCUCCUGCUACUAUAUAUAUAGUAUCAUGAGCUUUCGUGGGCAAAAGCCACUUCUUCACAUGAAAUUAUCUUGAAGUUACCCAUUAACAUGGCUAUCCCUCUGAGACGUCUAAACAGUACGGUGGUAGCCAUGAUAUGAGAAAGUUAAAUAGAUACAAUACCAUUAAUUUUGCUAUUAGCUUCUAUUUUUCAUAAAUUAGAACAUUUUGUUUCCUUAGCCUUGACUAUUAUUGUAAUACAAACACAUGUGCUCCUCUUAAAUGUCAGCAGCAGUUUUCUCAGAAAUAAAGACUUCAGGAAAGGACACAAACGGUUACUGAACAGACGUUACCUGACCACACAUGAGACCUCUAAAUAUCCUAUCAAAUUAAUUUCAGUGAUAGCCAGUCAGUGAUCACGCUGUUGAUUGAUGUUGAUUUAGUACUUCAGGGUCAGGUAAUUAGAAUCUUCCAAAGUCACAAUGUUCUUGGCAGAAAGCACCUUUGGGAGCAAUACUUCAUAUCUGAUCAAAUGCAGUAUGGUCUGAGUUGUGAGAAUCCAUGAGAAUUAGCUUUGGGGGAAAAAUAUUUCUUGUGGAAACUGAAAUGUUCACAAAUAUUCGUAAACUUUUGAUGAGUGCACAGCUCCUGGUUUGGUCCACAUAGAUCCAAGGCUGUCUUGUCAAUUUUUAUAAACUCUUCUUUAUUGUCAGGGUUAUUCCCAAAUUCCCAUUGGGCGUGCGGGUUGAAGGACUAACACUAAUAUGUUACAUUUAACAAUAUAACGUGUGCGUGCGCGCGCACACACACACACACACACACACACACACACACACACACACACAGAGCCAAUCCUCCUGCUGUUUCUUGUGGUUGAAAUAGUUAGAUGCCCCAGAAUAUGAAGGGAAAUAAGGUUAAAUUACAAAGUAUUAAUAUAAACAAUUAAAGUAUGUAGGGAUGAAAUUAGCUGUUUUCACAGGGUCCCUGGACUGGAACCUGGAAUAGAGGGUGGGCCUGGUUUCCCCUCACCGAAAAGGAACUGCCUUUGGGAAGGGGGUUUAUCCAUCCCUGGAAGGGCCACAGAGAUGAUAGAAUUUGGUUUCCCCUCUUUUCCCCAUGCUGGCCAGUGAUGAAAGUAGCUCAACAAAGAGCAAGCUGGUGUCCUAGAGAAAGUGCCUAAACUGAGGGCUACUGUGAGCCUCUGAGGCAUGCAAUCUGCCUGAAAGUGCAGGACUCACUAAGGCUGAGGAAGAGCUCUGUCACAGAGCAUAACAACAGCUUUCAAGGACAUAAAAACAGCUUUACAAGGAGGAGAGAGAAAAAUGAUUUGCCUUGUCCUCUAAUGAUAGGACAAGACUCAGUUUCAGUUUCGCACAUACAGAAUAGGAAGUGACUGUCUAGGAAGGAGUACUGCAGAAAGGGAUUUAGAGGUCAUAGAGGAUGACAAGUGAAACAUGAGUCAACAGAGUGACAUUGUUGCAAAAAAAGCAAACAUGAU
Non-coding RNA from Pelodiscus sinensis (Chinese soft-shelled turtle), 3350 nucleotides. Lineage: Eukaryota; Metazoa; Chordata; Testudines; Trionychidae. The record is from RefSeq and is a predicted model, not a curated record.